This is a long non-coding RNA of Bubalus bubalis (water buffalo), 2482 nucleotides long. RefSeq lists it as uncharacterized. NCBI's taxonomy places the organism in Eukaryota, Metazoa, Chordata, Mammalia, Artiodactyla, Bovidae. The record is from RefSeq and is a predicted model, not a curated record. The transcript has 4 exons.
GUGUCUCGGAGGUUUGCCUUGGUGUGUGUUGAGUAGAACAAGGUAGUACCUGGUUCGGUGACAGGUUUGGUGAGCUAGCCAGAAGCCAGGUGCCGCCAACCUUCAGAAUUUAGCUUUAUUUUGCAGUGAAGAAAUGGUUUUGGAGUUUGGGGUUUGGAAGACGUGUUUGUGGUGAGUAAUCUUGUUAGAGACACACCUGUGCCUUCAUUGUCUGGCUGUCCCACCCAGAUGGUGGGUUGGAGGCCCAGCUUGCUGGAUUCGGACAGACAGUAUAAAAGUUUACAGCUGCUGAAGCAGCCCACAUCCGGGUUAAAGGCCCAGGGCUGUGAUUUUUGAUCUUUCUUUUCUUAUCUAUGUCUAACUGUCUGAAGUGUUAAGGAUUGACUCUUGGAGACUGAGCUUCUUGAUGACUAUAGCAUGUACUCUAAGAUAGAUUUCUUUGCAGCAACCAUCUAGAAACAAAAUGAGAUUUUUUUUUUCCCCAUUGCAAAAUGAGAAAUGCUAAUUCAGUUCCCCCUUGCAGCCCUCUAGGCCCCACUCUCCAAAACUGGAUGACUUUAAGUUUGAAUCUAUGGAAAAGAAAAAGAUGGUGCCUUUUGAUACCCUUGCAUAGUGCAAACACCCUUUAGGCUCAGAGAAAAAUGGCCUUCAAUUAAAAUACAACGUUGCAACUGGAUUUAUUUGGGAAACAGGAAGAAAAAUGGGAAAGAAUACCCUAUAUACAUUCUUUCAUCAGAAUCAACCUGCGCAAAGAAUAUGGAAAGUUAUGGCCCAGCAGAAUGGGAAGAGGGAGAAACCUGUUCUCGAUUCUAAUACAAAGUCAAUGGCUGGCCUGCAUGAAGGAAAGGAGAGGUUCCACCACCCCAGAGACACUUCCUCCUUUCUAAGAGGAUCUGCACAGUGGACUGUUCAUAUGUACGGAGCAUCUCUGAGUUCAGGAUUCGAAAUCAUGAAACACCUGUCUCUAAAACAUCACCUUAAACGAACAGUAUGAAGACUGAAGCUGCAAAAAUGAUGCAGGGAAUAUUUGCCAGACUGCAUUCCCACUGAAGUCUGGUGCCCAGUAUACCCGAACACCCAUCCCUCUCUCUAAUGUUGUCUGAAUGCAGCCCUCUGUUUUUCUGCCUGUUUGCCGAACUGGCCUGGUAGAGACUGAAAGGACGUUUCCAUGGAGCAGCUAUAGGUCGAGGGGGCCGAGAGGCAGUUCUAUCUGUACUCGGGUGAUGUUGCUUGGAACCACAUUCCAACAGUCAGUACUAUGGGCUCAUGGGCUCACUUGGGACAACCGUCUACAACCAUCUCCCCAUCAGUACCACACAGGAACACUUCUGAGGACCAGCUCUCUUCCUGCCUCCCUGUGAGGGCCCUUGUCUCACAGACCCUGGGGAGGGCUCCUGCCAGCUCUUUUCCACCUCUGGGAUGAGGUGGCUCCUCCUCCCUAGGAGAUGUUGCUGCCCUGGGGAAGCACCACCUCCCAGAACCCCUUCUGUACCAGGUCCUGCUCAGGACAGUUUUUCUUGGUUGUCAGAUUUCUCAGCUGCCUUUAUUGGACCACAGCUGUGCCUGGUCACUUCACAGGAUGGUAUGGGAUGUCUUUUGGAGCUAGCUAAGCACCCAUCUCAGAAUACAGAGGGAAGUACUUCAGUUUUGGCCACUCUGUCUGAAACUAGUUUUUCCCAGUAUCCUCCCACAAGGAGCACACUUUCCAGGAUUCCUUCAAUUUUCAUCCAAAUUUCCUCUAGGCUCUGUGAAAAUCUUGGGUUUGUCCCAUGAGAGUUGUGUGGACUCUAAGCCACUUUGCGACAGACAAGUCUACCCAGACUGUUCCUGGUCACUCCUGGUGAGCUCUGGGCUGAGACAGGCAUCACCAAAGUUCUCCCACUGGCCAGCUGAAGCUGCAUCCCAAGCAUCUUCUAAAAGACUACUGCAGACUGUCCCGGAAUUAAGAAGAAUGAGUGGAGAACAAGAGUGAAGUUUGUUAUGAAUGUAAGAAGUCCUGAUUAUAAUUCUGCUCAGCCAACAACAAAGAGCACAGGGAGCCCCAAAGUACGCUUAUGUCAACUGGACUCUGGUUGUAUGCUUGGAUCUCCAUCCGUGGAGGAAAAUAAUAAAAGUGAAGAAUGAAACAUCAAGCCUCAGAAGCAUAUAACCAAUUGUUGGACUUAGAGGGUGGGCUGUAAUAAUAAUUUAAAUAAUGUUUUUCUCUGGUAAUUGACACCCCUGUAUACUGUGUGAAUCAAAUGUUCAUUGCACAUACAAGUUUCAGUACAAGUUGGAUGCUUUUGUGUUUUAUUGUGGGGGUGGGUUGUGAUAAGAACUCAAGAAGUAAAGCAUAAAAGAAAAUAUGCCUAAUGAAACUCUUCUGUGCCAUUAAUUCUAAAAGUUCUGAAAUAUUGAAAAUGCGGACCAAAAAGCAUUGCCUGCCAUUUCAGUAAACAACAAAUAAUGUCCACCAUCAAGCCACUAGCCACUGCAGCUGUCC